GCAGUGCCUUACUCAAGGAGGUGCCGAUCACGUACUCUAAAAUGUUAUCGGAGUCUCUUUGAGUAGAGUAAUGCU
Loxodonta africana (African savanna elephant) is the source of this 75-nucleotide microRNA precursor. Lineage: Eukaryota; Metazoa; Chordata; Mammalia; Proboscidea; Elephantidae. The record is from Rfam.